RNAcentral lists this ribosomal RNA (501 nucleotides) under uncultured bacterium. RNAcentral describes it as "partial 16S ribosomal RNA". It matches the Rfam family "Bacterial small subunit ribosomal RNA", at positions 29 to 523 of the family's 1533-position model. The record is from RNAcentral.
AUUGAACGCUGGCGGCAUGCCUUACACAUGCAAGUCGAACGGCAGCACGGGUGCUUGCACCUGGUGGCGAGUGGCGAACGGGUGAGUAAUACAUCGGAACGUACCUUAUCGUGGGGGAUAACGCAGCGAAAGCUGUGCUAAUACCGCAUACGCCCUGAGGGGGAAAGCGGGGGAUCGAAAGACCUCGCGCGAUUAGAGCGGCCGAUGCCUGAUUAGCUUGUUGGUGGGGUAAAAGCCCACCAAGGCGACGAUCAGUAGCUGGGCUGAGAGGACGUGCAGCCACACGGGGACUGAGACAAGGCACAGACUCCUACGGGAGGCAGCAGUGGGGAAUUUUGGACAAUGGGGGCAACCCUGAUCCAGCAAUGCCGCGUGAGUGAAGAAGGCCUUCGGGUUGUAAAGCUCUUUUGUCAGGGAAGAAACACCGGCUCUAACACAGUCCGGGAAUGACGGUACCUGAAGAAUAAGCACCGGCUAACUACGUGCCAGCCGCCGCGGUAA